Molecule: transfer RNA, 53 nt
Filed under: Romanomermis iyengari
Lineage: Eukaryota; Metazoa; Nematoda; Enoplea; Mermithida; Mermithidae
Description: tRNA-Pro
Source: RNAcentral
UUAGAUAGAGUGUAUGACAUAUUAUUUUUGGAUAAUAAUGAAUUAAAUCUGUA